GAGAUGAUGCCACAUCUGGUCCAGCUGAUGGAAGGUCUUGAAGUUCUCUGACUGGCCUCGACUGAAGAUGGUCGUCUCACUGGAUUUAAGGUUCAGAUUCUCAGUAACAAACUCCACCAAUGUGCCAACAGGGAAGCUUUAGGUUUAUUAAAUGUUGCUAUGAAGGUUUCGCUGUUUUUCUUUGUGAAUGCAAUGAGCUCCAACUGAAACUUGAAUUAGAACUUAGAAGUAAAUCCUUCCAUCUGAAAGGAUUUAGUUGCAUUAAUAACCUCACAACAUUCUAAUUUUUAUUCCAGUGUUGGCUGGAAAUAGAAUCUCUGUAUUGAUUCAGGUAAAAACUGAACUUCACAGCAUGUUGGAGCAAAACAACCAGAUGAAAACUGUGAUGGUGUUGGAUUGUCAGACCGUAAUGUUGCAGCUCAAAGCAGCUUUUCUAUCUCAGUUCAUUCUGACAUUCAGCUAUGAAUCAACACAGCAGAUGGUGAUCCAUGCUGUGGAAGUCUCACAUCUCCUGAUUUAAUGGAGCUGCUUUGCACUUUUUACACUGUUUAUUCACCAACACUUUAUUUAAUAAAAGUCCCAUCUAGUUUUUAUGAGGAAUGUGAUGUUUUAAUUUCUCUGUGAAUAACUGCAGUCUAAUGCAACAGCUGGAGUUGUAACAUCUGUCCUGAUAUUGAUCAUGAAGUAUUGAUCACAAUACUUAUGGUUAGCAGUCAUCCCUGAAGUUUUACAUUAAAAUCUUUACUUGUGUUGUGAACUUUGGUAAGAAGCAGAAACGUUAGCGUUGCCAUGGAUACAUGAGUGUUAAAUUCUGUCCAUGUUUCCAUUUUGGGAAAUUCAGUCCAGUUCCAGAAUGUGGAGGAAUUUAGUCUCAAUCACAAACAACAAAUAUUACCUGAAAGUUGGGUUAUUGUUGUUUAUCAGCACAAUACAAAAAGAUUAAUGUUAGAAAUAUUCCAGUUAAGACUCUAGAAUAUCAUGAUUUAUGUAAAUUUACCUCAAUAAUAUGAAUGUUCAGGUUAAGCUUGUACAGUGAUAUUUAUUAUGUAAGUUUAGCUGAUGAAAGUUUAUGACUCUGCACUAAAAUAUUAUUUAAAUUGACAUCAUUAUUAUAAUAUUUAGGGUCAGACCCUACAGUAUUGAGAUUAAGAAAUCAAAUAUUCUAUAAAAUGUAAAUACACUGAACUCAUUUGGAUAUAUUUAAGUGAGACUCUACAAUAUUAUUUGACACAAAUCUAUCUAAAUCAAAAUUUUAAUAAUUUUCACGCCAAACAUUUACUGGACUGAUUUAAAUAUUAAAAUCACUCCUUUCUAAUCCUCUGCUGUACGUUCAAACCUGAGGCCUUAAAUAGAAGCACACAAGUAUCUGAUUGAAGGAACUUCUGCAGAGUCCUGGUUCCAGAACAUGAUGAUAGAAUUAUAGACAAACUUUAACAAAAGCUGCCUGAGAGUUUACAGGUUUUUAUGUUGGAUUUCUUCAGUAAUUUAAUGAGCGUUAUCAGCAAUAAUCAAGUGUUCAUUUGAUGAACUUCAUUUCCUAAAACAUCCAGAAUUGGAGCUCAUAUCUUUGGCAGCUGUAAAGUUUCUGCUCCUUCAAAGUUCACAACACAAUGAAUGAAUUCCUAAAACACUCUCAAUGCUGGAGAGCGUUUGUGAUGCUGAAGCAGUGACCAGUUUUUCUGUUUCUUCUCUGGAGAUGCACAAUGAGGGACGUCUGCAGAGACUGAAAAGAGUGUCACCACAUCCUGACAUGAGGAAAAAGACUUUAUUGAAGACUACAAUGAGAAAAACUAUCAGGCAGCAGACGGCUGCAUUCAAGAGAGGAAGACCAUCAAACAUCCACAUCAGCUGAUGGAGGUCCAAGAGUCUCACCAAACAAACAACCUACAGAGUGAAGACCUCGAAUCUGAUUGGACGGCCUCCUAUUCAGCCACGUGUGAACAAAUGCCUCUAAGCUGAUUUGUUUUCUAAAAUAAAUCUAGUUUGAGUCCUAA
Molecule: long non-coding RNA, 1994 nt
Organism: Amphiprion ocellaris (clown anemonefish)
Lineage: Eukaryota; Metazoa; Chordata; Actinopteri; Pomacentridae
Exons: 2
Source: RefSeq, a predicted model, not a curated record